CAGCUGCAUCUGUCAGUCCUACAGCUGCACUUGAAAGCUGGAGGUCCCCUGGUAGCAGUCUGAAAGCUGCUUCUUUGGAAAGCACAGCUGCAGCCUUCUCAGGGAGAUGGGUGCCACAGCAAGAUGAUAUCAGCCCAGUACAUGCACCAUCCACUGAUCGUGGAAGCCGGCACAUGAGCCUCCAGCGUAGCAGUAAGUUCAGCC
Molecule: long non-coding RNA, 204 nt
Organism: Ixodes scapularis (black-legged tick)
Lineage: Eukaryota; Metazoa; Arthropoda; Arachnida; Ixodida; Ixodidae
Exons: 3
Source: RefSeq, a predicted model, not a curated record